RNAcentral lists this ribosomal RNA (478 nucleotides) under Bacillus sp. BAB-3706. Its description in RNAcentral is "bacterial SSU rRNA". It matches the Rfam family "Bacterial small subunit ribosomal RNA", at positions 49 to 513 of the family's 1533-position model. The record is from RNAcentral. Lineage: Bacteria; Bacillati; Bacillota; Bacilli; Caryophanales; Bacillaceae.
UAAUACAUGGAGUCGAGCGGCAGAAGGGAGCUUGUCGCGGAUGUUAGCGGCGGACGGGUGAGUAACACGUGGGUAACCUGCCUGUAAGACUGGGAUAACUCCGGGAAACCGGAGCUAAUACCGGAUAGUUCCUUGAACCGCAUGGUUCAAGGAUGAAAGACGGUUUCGGCUGUCACUUACAGAUGGACCCGCGGCGCAUUAGCUAGUUGGUGGGGUAAUGGCUCACCAAGGCGACGAUGCGUAGCCGACCUGAGAGGGUGAUCGGCCACACUGGGACUGAGACACGGCCCAGACUCCUACGGGAGGCAGCAGUAGGGAAUCUUCCGCAAUGGACGAAAGUCUGACGGAGCAACGCCGCGUGAGUGAUGAAGGUUUUCGGAUCGUAAAGCUCUGUUGUUAGGGAAGAACAAGUGCGAGAGUAACUGCUCGCACCUUGACGGUACCUAACCAGAAAGCCACGGCUAACUACGUGCCAGCA